AUGGGAGCGCACAUCGCCGGCGUCUCAUGGGUGCUGCUGCAGCAGUACGUCUCCACCGGUCCACCCCAAAUGUCUCGCAUGCGCUCCAGGUCCAAGCAUGCCAGCUUCACGUCGGCCACGAUGACUCGGAGCCCAGGCGGGCACGGCCGUUCAGGUCGGCGGGGUAGGUCGUUGAGACCAGCUUUUCUACUCUCGGGUGUAAGUACACCCGAGUUUGAAAAAAAACUUGAUCAAACAAUGUCAAAAAAAUCUGAAAUUUUGGGACAUGAAACUUCAUCAAAUGUUCAAGAUUUCUACAAAAAUUCAGCGAAAAAUAACAUCAGAGGAGCUCUCGGCAAAAAAAAGAAUGUUCUAAGUUUGUGCACUGUUUGA
RNAcentral lists this ribosomal RNA (372 nucleotides) under Triticum aestivum (bread wheat). Its description in RNAcentral is "partial small subunit ribosomal RNA". Lineage: Eukaryota; Viridiplantae; Streptophyta; Magnoliopsida; Poales; Poaceae. The record is from RNAcentral.